GCCCCCUUAGCUCAGUGGUAGAGCGCAGUCUUGGUAAGACUGAGGUCAUGGGAUCGAUUCCCAUAGGGGGCU
Molecule: transfer RNA, 72 nt
Filed under: Pseudoglutamicibacter albus
Lineage: Bacteria; Bacillati; Actinomycetota; Actinomycetes; Micrococcales; Micrococcaceae
Also listed under: 4 other names
Description: tRNA-Thr
Rfam family: tRNA
About the family: Transfer RNA (tRNA) molecules are approximately 80 nucleotides in length. Their secondary structure includes four short double-helical elements and three loops (D, anti-codon, and T loops).
Source: RNAcentral